Molecule: non-coding RNA, 112 nt
Organism: Pelobates cultripes (western spadefoot toad)
Lineage: Eukaryota; Metazoa; Chordata; Amphibia; Anura; Pelobatidae
Source: the annotation of a GenBank genome assembly
UCUGAUCUCUCUGAUCUGCUCCCUCGCAGGCUGUUUACUGAUGACGUCAUAUUCCGGCUCCCGUGGCAUCAGUAAACAGCCUGCGAGGAGGGAGCAGAUCAGAGAGAUCAGA